GACGGAGGAGGCAAGCGUUAUCCGGAAUUAUUGGGCGUAAAGCGUCCGCAGGUGGCGAUUCAAGUCUGCUGUCAAAGGUCGGGGCUUAACCCCGGGAAGGCAGUGGAAACUGAAUAGCUAGAGUGCGGUAGGGGCAGAGGGAAUUCCCGGUGUAGCGGUGAAAUGCGUGGAGAUCGGGAAGAACACCAGUGGCGAAAGCGCUCUGCUGGGCCUGCACUGACACUGAGGGACGAAAGCGUGGGGAGCAAACAGG
Molecule: ribosomal RNA, 253 nt
Filed under: uncultured bacterium
Lineage: Bacteria
Description: partial 16S ribosomal RNA
Rfam family: Bacterial small subunit ribosomal RNA
Source: RNAcentral